AGUGAACGCUGGCGGUAGGCCUAACACAUGCAAGUCGAACGGCAGCACAGUAAGAGCUUGCUCUUACGGGUGGCGAGUGGCGGACGGGUGAGGAAUACAUCGGAAUCUACUUUUUCGUGGGGGAUAACGUAGGGAAACUUACGCUAAUACCGCAUACGACCUACGGGUGAAAGCAGGGGAUCUUCGGACCUUGCGCGAUUGAAUGAGCCGAUGUCGGAUUAGCUAGUUGGCGGGGUAAAGGCCCACCAAGGCGACGAUCCGUAGCUGGUAUGAGAGGAUGAUCAGCCACACUGGAACUGAGACACGGUCCAGACUCCUAAGGGAGGCAGCAGUGGGGAAUAUUGGACAAUGGGCGGAAGCCUGAACCAGCCAUACCGCGUGGGUGAAGAAGGCCUUCGGGUUGUAAAGCCCUUUUGUUGGGAAAGAAAAGCAGCAGGUUAAUACCCCGCUGUUCUGACGGUACCCAAAGAAUAAGCACCGGCUAACUUCGUG
Molecule: ribosomal RNA, 492 nt
Filed under: uncultured bacterium
Lineage: Bacteria
Description: partial 16S ribosomal RNA
Rfam family: Bacterial small subunit ribosomal RNA
Source: RNAcentral